CAGGAGGGUGAGCGUUAUCGGAAUAUGGGCGUAAAGCGCACGCAGGCGGUCUGUUAAGUCAGAUGUGAAAUCCCCGGGCUUAACCUGGGAACUGCAUUUGAAACUGGCAGGCUUGAGUCUCGUAGAGGGGGGUAGAAUUCCAGGUGUAGCGGUGAAAUGCGUAGAGAUCUGGAGGAAUACCGGUGGCGAAGGCGGCCCCCUGGACGAAGACUGACGCUCAGGUGCGAAAGCGUGGGGAGCAAACAGGAUUAGAUACCCUGGUAGUCCACGCCGUAAACGAUGUCGACUUGGAGGUUGUUCCCUUGAGGAGUGGCUUCCGGAGCUAACGCGUUAAGUCGACCGCCUGGGGAGUACGGCCGCAAGGUUAAAACUCAAAUGAAUUGACGGGGGCCCGCACAAGCGGUGGAGCAUGUGGUUUAAUUCGAUGCAACGCGAAGAACCUUACCUACUCUUGACAUCCAGCGAACGGGGCAGAGAUGCCCCGGUGCCUUCGGGAGC
RNAcentral lists this ribosomal RNA (498 nucleotides) under Pantoea secondary symbiont of Diaphorina citri. RNAcentral's name for it is "bacterial SSU rRNA". It matches the Rfam family "Bacterial small subunit ribosomal RNA", at positions 527 to 1027 of the family's 1533-position model. The record is from RNAcentral. Lineage: Bacteria; Pseudomonadati; Pseudomonadota; Gammaproteobacteria; Enterobacterales; Erwiniaceae.